RNAcentral lists this ribosomal RNA (253 nucleotides) under uncultured bacterium. Its description in RNAcentral is "partial 16S ribosomal RNA". It matches the Rfam family "Bacterial small subunit ribosomal RNA", at positions 524 to 776 of the family's 1533-position model. The record is from RNAcentral.
UACGGAGGGUGCAAGCGUUAUCCGGAUUCACUGGGUUUAAAGGGUGCGUAGGUGGGUUGGUAAGUCCGUGGUGAAAUCUCCGAGCUUAACUCGGAAACUGCCGUGGAUACUAUCAACCUUGAAUACUGUGGAGGUAAGCGGAAUAUGUCAUGUAGCGGUGAAAUGCUUAGAUAUGACACAGAACACCGAUUGCGUAGGCAGCUCUCUAAACUGUAACUGACGCUGAGGCACGAAAGCGUGGGGAGCAAACAGG